This 403-nucleotide ribosomal RNA is filed under the name bacterium. RNAcentral describes it as "partial 16S ribosomal RNA". It matches the Rfam family "Bacterial small subunit ribosomal RNA", at positions 355 to 776 of the family's 1533-position model. The record is from RNAcentral.
UGGGGAAUAUUGCACAAUGGAGGGAACUCUGAUGCAGCGACGCCGCGUGAACGAAGAAGGCUUUCGAGUCGUAAAGUUCUUUUAUAUGGGAAGAUAAUGACGGUACCUUAAGAAGAAGCCCCGGCUAACUACGUGCCAGCAGCCGCGGUAAUACGUAGGGGGCUAGCGUUGUCCGGAAUCACUGGGCGUAAAGGGUUCGCAGGCGGAAAUGCAAGUCAGGUGUAAAAGGCAGUAGCUUAACUACUGUAAGCAUUUGAAACUGCAUAUCUUGAGAAGAGUAGAGGUAAGUGGAAUUUUUAGUGUAGCGGUGAAAUGCGUAGAUAUUAAAAAGAAUACCGGUGGCGAAGGCGACUUACUGGGCUCAUUCUGACGCUGAGGAACGAAAGCGUGGGUAGCAAACAGG